Molecule: ribosomal RNA, 468 nt
Filed under: uncultured bacterium
Lineage: Bacteria
Description: partial 16S ribosomal RNA
Rfam family: Bacterial small subunit ribosomal RNA
Source: RNAcentral
GACGAACGCUGGCGGCGUGCUUAACACAUGCAAGUCGAACGGAAAGGCCCUGCUUUUGUGGGGUGCUCGAGUGGCGAACGGGUGAGUAACACGUGAGUAACCUGCCCUUGACUUUGGGAUAACUUCAGGAAACUGGGGCUAAUACCGGAUAGGAGCUCCUGCUGCAUGGUGGGGGUUGGAAAGUUUCGGCGGUUGGGGAUGGACUCGCGGCUUAUCAGCUUGUUGGUGGGGUAGUGGCUUACCAAGGCUUUGCCGGGUAGCCGGCCUGGGAGGGUGACCGGCCACAUUGGGGCUGGGGUACGGCCCAGACUCCUACGGGGGGCAGCAGUGGGGAAUAUUGCACAAUGGGCGGAAGCCUGAUGCAGCAACGCCGCGUGCGGGAUGACGGCCUUCGGGUUGUAAACCGCUUUCGCCUGUGACGAAGCGUGAGUGACGGUAAUGGGUAAAGAAGCACCGGCUAACUACGUG